This 455-nucleotide long non-coding RNA is filed under the name Mytilus galloprovincialis (Mediterranean mussel). The record is from RNAcentral. Lineage: Eukaryota; Metazoa; Mollusca; Bivalvia; Mytilida; Mytilidae.
AAUAGUCAUUUUAAAACAUCUCCUGUAUUUUAUUGAUUUGUCUUUUGUUUUAUUGGUGUGGAUGGAUAUGUCAAAACAUGCAAGUUUAUAAUGUUUUUAUGUCUGAGUACCCAUAUAUUUUUAUGAUUACUAUAUGUAACUUUUUUUUCAUAAUAUUUUGCUUUAUUUAUUUUUAGCAUUUAUUAUGAGAAUUCUAGUCGUCAUCUGCAAUGAACAUACAAGCACUGGUCACUUUAUAUGUUUUAUUAUGUUAUUCUUCACAUAGGAGGUAACUCCUGCAUUCAUGGCACAAUUUGUGAUAAGAUUAUAUUGUAAAAAUGCUUACAACAAUGAAAAAACUUAAGGAGAUUUUUGAAUUAACAAAAAUGUCUAUUAUUAUUUUAAAGGACAAACAAUUUUGUGAUAAUUUAUUGAAAUAUUUGACAUUAUUUUAUCAAAAUUAAAAUAUGAUAUUU